AUACGUAGGUGGCGAGCGUUGUCCGGAAUUACUGGGUGUAAAGGGCGUGUAGGCGGGGAUGCAAGUCAGAUGUGAAAUACCGAGGCUUAACCUCGGGGCUGCAUCUGAAACUGUGUUUCUUGAGUGUCGGAGAGGAAAGCGGAAUUCCCAGUGUAGCGGUGAAAUUCGUAGAGAUUGGGAGGAGCACCAGUGGCGAAGGCGGCUUUCUGGACGACAACUGACGCUGAGGCGCGAAAGCGUGGGGAGCAAACAGGAUUAGAUACCCUGGUAGUCCACGCCGUAAACGAUGGAUACUAGGUGUGGGAGGUAUCGACCCCUUCUGUGCCGGAGUUAACACAAUAAGUAUCCCACCUGGGGAGUACGGCCGCAAGGUUGAA
This 377-nucleotide ribosomal RNA is filed under the name uncultured bacterium. RNAcentral describes it as "bacterial SSU rRNA". It matches the Rfam family "Bacterial small subunit ribosomal RNA", at positions 523 to 898 of the family's 1533-position model. The record is from RNAcentral.